ACUCAAAGGAAUAGACGGGGGCCCGCACAAGCGGCGGAGCGUGCGGUUUAAUUCGACGCAACGCGCAAAACCUUACCAGGGCUGGACACGCCCCUGCAUCCCCCGGAAACGGGGUGGCCUUCGAGGGUGGGGCGCAGGUGCUGCAUGGCUGUCGUCAGCUCGUGUCGUGAGAUGUUGGGUUAAGUCCCGCAACGAGCGCAACCCCCGCGGCCAGUUGGAGCGCGUCUCUGGCCGGACCGCCGGUCGCAAACCGGAGGAAGGUGGGGAUGAUGUCAAGUCAGCAUGGCCCUUACGCCCUGGGCGACACGCACGCUACAAUGGCCGGGACAGCGGGUCGCCAAGCCGCGAGGCGGAGCCAAUCCCCCAAACCCGGCCCCAGUUCGGAUCGGGGGCUGCAACCCGCCCCCGUGAAGCCGGAGUCGCUAGUAACCGCGGGUCAGCAGUACCGCGGUGAAUGUGUUCCCGGGCCUUGUACACACCGCCCGU
This 486-nucleotide ribosomal RNA is filed under the name uncultured bacterium. Its description in RNAcentral is "partial 16S ribosomal RNA". It matches the Rfam family "Bacterial small subunit ribosomal RNA", at positions 899 to 1397 of the family's 1533-position model. The record is from RNAcentral.